Molecule: ribosomal RNA, 492 nt
Filed under: uncultured bacterium
Lineage: Bacteria
Description: partial 16S ribosomal RNA
Rfam family: Bacterial small subunit ribosomal RNA
Source: RNAcentral
AGUGAACGCUGGCGGUAGGCCUAACACAUGCAAGUCGAACGACAGCACAGUAAGAGCUUGCUCUUACGGGUGGCGAGUGGCGGACGGGUGCGGAAUACAUCGGCAUCUACUUUUUCGUGGGGGAUAACGUAGGGAAACUUACGCUAAUACCGCAUACGACCUACGGGUGAAAGCAGGGGAUCUUCCGACCUUGCGCGAUUGUAUGAGCCGAUGUCGGAUUAGCUAGUUGGCGGGGUAAAGGCCCACCAAGGCGACGAUCCGUAGCUGGUCUGAGAGGGUGAGCAGACAUACGGGAACUGAGACACGGUCCAGACUCCUACGGGAGGCAGCAGUGGGGAAUAUUGGACAAUGGGCGCAAGCCUGAUCCAGCCAUACCGCGUGGGUGAAGAAGGCCUUCGGGUUGUAAAGCUCUUUUGUUGGGAAAGAAAAGCAGCGGGUUAAUAUCCCGCUGUUCGGACGGUACCCAAAGAAUAAGCACCGGCUAACUUCGUG